This 86-nucleotide ribosomal RNA is filed under the name Providencia alcalifaciens. RNAcentral describes it as "partial 16S ribosomal RNA". It matches the Rfam family "Bacterial small subunit ribosomal RNA", at positions 1 to 83 of the family's 1533-position model. Lineage: Bacteria; Pseudomonadati; Pseudomonadota; Gammaproteobacteria; Enterobacterales; Morganellaceae. The record is from RNAcentral.
UAAUUGAAGAGUUUGAUCAUGGCUCAGAUUGAACGCUGGCGGCAGGCCUAACACAUGCAAGUCGAGCGGUAACAGGGGAAGCUUGC